Megalops atlanticus (tarpon) is the source of this 72-nucleotide non-coding RNA. The record is from the annotation of a GenBank genome assembly. Lineage: Eukaryota; Metazoa; Chordata; Actinopteri; Elopiformes; Megalopidae.
GGCAGAGUGGCAUAGUGGUAGGGAGCAGGGUUCAUAACCAAAAGGUUUCGGGGUCAAUUCCCCACUGAGGCA